This 155-nucleotide ribosomal RNA is filed under the name Elatostema cyrtandrifolium var. cyrtandrifolium. Its description in RNAcentral is "5.8S ribosomal RNA". The stretch from base 22 to 155 matches the Rfam family "5.8S ribosomal RNA", at positions 1 to 132 of the family's 154-position model. Rfam says of the family: 5.8S ribosomal RNA (5.8S rRNA) is a component of the large subunit of the eukaryotic ribosome. Lineage: Eukaryota; Viridiplantae; Streptophyta; Magnoliopsida; Rosales; Urticaceae. The record is from RNAcentral.
CGAGUUCAAAUAUGUCAAAAUGACUCUCGGCAACGGAUAUCUCGGCUCUCGCAUCGAUGAAGAACGUAGCAAAAUGCGAUACGUGGUGUGAAUUGCAGAAUUCCGUGAACCAUCGAGUUUUUGAACGCAAGUUGCGCCCAAUGUCAUUCGACUGA